GAUGAACGCUAGCUACAGGCUUAACACAUGCAAGUCGAGGGGAAACGACGUCGAAAGCUUGCUUUUGAUGGGCGUCGACCGGCGCACGGGUGAGUAACGCGUAUCCAACCUGCCCACCACUUGGGGAUAACCUUGCGAAAGUAAGACUAAUACCCAAUGACGUCGCUAGAAGACAUCUGAAAGAGAUUAAAGAUUUAUCGGUGAUGGAUGGGGAUGCGUCUGAUUAACUUGUUGGCGGGGUAACGGCCCACCAAGGCGACGAUCAGUAGGGGUUCUGAGAGGAAGGUCCCCCACAUUGGAACUGAGACACGGUCCAAACUCCUACGGGAGGCAGCAGUGAGGAAUAUUGGUCAAUGGGCGAGAGCCUGAACCAGCCAAGUAGCGUGCAGGAUGACGGCCCUAUGGGUUGUAAACUGCUUUUAUAAGGGAAUAAAGUGAGUCUCGUGAGACUUUUUGCAUGUACCUUAUGAAUAAGGACCGGCUAAUUCCGUGCCAGCCGCCGCUGUAA
RNAcentral lists this ribosomal RNA (508 nucleotides) under uncultured bacterium. Its description in RNAcentral is "partial 16S ribosomal RNA". It matches the Rfam family "Bacterial small subunit ribosomal RNA", at positions 28 to 523 of the family's 1533-position model. The record is from RNAcentral.